Molecule: ribosomal RNA, 402 nt
Filed under: Bacteroidota bacterium
Lineage: Bacteria; Pseudomonadati; Bacteroidota
Description: Bacteroidetes bacterium partial 16S ribosomal RNA
Rfam family: Bacterial small subunit ribosomal RNA
Source: RNAcentral
UGGGGAAUUUUGCACAAUGGGGGAAACCCUGAUGCAGCGACGCCGCGUGAUUUAGAAGGCCUUCGGGUUGUAAAAAUCUUUUUUAUGGGAUGAAAAUGACAGUACCAUAAGAAUAAGGUCCGGCUAAAUACGUGCCAGCAGCCGCGGUAAUACGUAUGGACCGAGCGUUGUCCGGAAUCAUUGGGCGUAAAGGGUACGUAGGCGGCCCAGUAAGUUAGAAGUGAAAUAAUAUAGCUCAACUAUAUAAAGCUUUUAAAACUGCUAGGCUUGAGAGAUGGAAGAGAAAGUGGAAUUCCUAGUGUAGCGGUGAAAUGUGCAGAUAUUAGGAAGAAUACCGGUGGCGAAGGCGACUUUCUGGUCAUCAUCUGACGCUGAGGUACGAAAGCGUGGGUAGCAAACAGG